RNAcentral lists this ribosomal RNA (253 nucleotides) under uncultured bacterium. RNAcentral describes it as "partial 16S ribosomal RNA". It matches the Rfam family "Bacterial small subunit ribosomal RNA", at positions 524 to 776 of the family's 1533-position model. The record is from RNAcentral.
UACGGGGGGGGCAAGCGUUGUUCGGAAUUACUGGGCGUAAAGGGCUCGUAGGUGGCCAAUUAAGUCGGACGUGAAAUCCCUCGGCUUAACCGGAGAACUGCAUCCGAUACUGGAUGGCUUGAGUUCGGGAGAGGGAUGCGGAAUUCCAGGUGUAGCGGUGAAAUGCGUAGAUAUCUGGAGGAACACCGGUGGCGAAGGCGGUUCUCUGGGCCUGUUCUGACGCUGAGGAGCGAAAGCGUGGGGAGCGAACAGG